Molecule: microRNA precursor, 102 nt
Filed under: Podarcis lilfordi (Lilford's wall lizard)
Lineage: Eukaryota; Metazoa; Chordata; Lepidosauria; Squamata; Lacertidae
Source: RNAcentral
UAGGGAUGAUGGGAGUUGUAGUCCCAAAACAGCUGGAGACCCUACAUUAAGGCUAGCUUGGGUCUCCAGCUGUUUUGGGACUACAACUCCCAUCAUCUCUGA